UACGAAGGGUGGAAGCGUUACUCGGAAUUACUGGGCGUAAAGCGUGCGUAGGUGGUUUGUUAAGUCUGUUGUGAAAGCCCCGGGCUCAACCUGGGAAUGGCAAUGGAUACUGGCAAGCUAGAGUGCGGUAGAGGGUAGUGGAAUUCCCGGUGUAGCGGUGAAAUGCGCAGAUAUCGGGAGGAACACCGGUGGCGAAGGCGGGUCUCUGGGCCGAUACUGACGCUGAGGAGCGAAAGCGUGGGGAGCGAACAGG
Molecule: ribosomal RNA, 253 nt
Filed under: uncultured bacterium
Lineage: Bacteria
Description: partial 16S ribosomal RNA
Rfam family: Bacterial small subunit ribosomal RNA
Source: RNAcentral